UACGUAGGGUGCAAGCGUUAAUCGGAAUUACUGGGCGUAAAGCGUGCGCAGGCGGUCCGCAAAGUCUGAUGUGAAAGCCCCGGGCUCAACCUGGGAACUGCAUUGGAAACUAACGGGCUCGAGUGUGGCAGAGGGGGGUGGAAUUCCACGUGUAGCAGUGAAAUGCGUAGAGAUGUGGAGGAACACCGAUGGCGAAGGCAGCCCCCUGGGCUAACACUGACGCUCAGGCACGAAAGCGUGGGGAUCAAACAGG
This 253-nucleotide ribosomal RNA is filed under the name uncultured bacterium. RNAcentral describes it as "partial 16S ribosomal RNA". It matches the Rfam family "Bacterial small subunit ribosomal RNA", at positions 524 to 776 of the family's 1533-position model. The record is from RNAcentral.